GCCUUCGUGGUGUAGUGGUCAGCACGCUCGACGCGUAACCGAGAGGUACGUGGUUCGAUUCCCGGGAAGGCG
This 72-nucleotide transfer RNA is filed under the name Stegodyphus mimosarum. It matches the Rfam family "tRNA". Rfam says of the family: Transfer RNA (tRNA) molecules are approximately 80 nucleotides in length. Their secondary structure includes four short double-helical elements and three loops (D, anti-codon, and T loops). Further hydrogen bonds mediate the characteristic L-shaped molecular structure. tRNAs have two regions of fundamental functional importance: the anti-codon, which is responsible for specific mRNA codon recognition, and the 3' end, to which the tRNAs corresponding amino acid is attached (by aminoacyl-tRNA synthetases). tRNAs cope with the degeneracy of the genetic code in two manners: having more than one tRNA (with a specific anti-codon) for a particular amino acid; and 'wobble' base-pairing, i.e. permitting non-standard base-pairing at the 3rd anti-codon position. Lineage: Eukaryota; Metazoa; Arthropoda; Arachnida; Araneae; Eresidae. The record is from Rfam by way of RNAcentral.